Molecule: long non-coding RNA, 361 nt
Filed under: Mytilus galloprovincialis (Mediterranean mussel)
Lineage: Eukaryota; Metazoa; Mollusca; Bivalvia; Mytilida; Mytilidae
Source: RNAcentral
CGACACAACACUACAAUGUAACACACACAGAAACGGACCAAGCAACAGACAAAAUCCCACGAGAAUAUCAAAUAUAACAUCAAAACCAAAUACAUAAAUUUGGGAUAGACAAGUACCGUGACACGUCUUAUCGCAAUGUGAAUUUACACUCAAAAAUAAGAGAAAACAAACGACGCAACGUUAAAAUGUAACACAUACAGAAACGAACUAUAAUAUAACAAUGGCCAUAUUCCUGACUUGGUACAGAACAUUUUUGAAGAAAAAAAAUGGCGGGUUGAACCUGGUUUUGUGGCAUGCCAAACCUCCCCUUUUAUAGCCAUGUGAAAUAUAACAUUAAGAUGACAACUCAACACCACAGGAC